This 433-nucleotide ribosomal RNA is filed under the name uncultured bacterium. RNAcentral's name for it is "partial 16S ribosomal RNA". It matches the Rfam family "Bacterial small subunit ribosomal RNA", at positions 29 to 507 of the family's 1533-position model. The record is from RNAcentral.
AACGAACGCUGGCGGCAUGCCUAACACAUGCAAGUCGAACGAGACCUUCGGGUCUAGUGGCGCACGGGUGCGUAACGCGUGGGAACCUGCCCUUAGGUUCGGAAUAACUCCCCGAAAGGGGUGCUAAUACCGGAUAAUGUCUUCGGACCAAAGAUUUAUCGCCUUUGGAUGGGCCCGCGUUGGAUUAGCUAGUUGGUAGGGUAAAAGCCUACCAAGGCGACGAUCCAUAGCUGGUCUGAGAGGAUGAUCAGCCACACUGGGACUGAGACACGGCCCAGACUCAUACGGGAGGCAGCAGUGGGGAAUAUUGGACAAUGGGCGAAAGACUGAGCCAGCAAUGCCGCGUGAGUGAUGAAGGCCUUAGGGUUGUAAAGCUCUUUUACCCGGGAUGAUAAUGACAGUACCGGGAGAAUAAGCUCCGGCUAACUCCGUG